Long non-coding RNA from Cucumis melo (muskmelon), 740 nucleotides. RefSeq lists it as uncharacterized. NCBI's taxonomy places the organism in Eukaryota, Viridiplantae, Streptophyta, Magnoliopsida, Cucurbitales, Cucurbitaceae. The transcript is spliced from 2 exons. The record is from RefSeq and is a predicted model, not a curated record.
CAGCUAAAUUGCCCGGCGACGGUAGAAGAGGAGCAGUAGAGCAAAGUAAUAUUGUGAGAAGUAGGAAUUGCAUCGAAGAGAUUGUAAUCGAUUGUGGUGUUUAUGAAUUUCUUAGGGCAGAGCGUACCCAUAUAAUCGGUUCUGGCGAUGGCCAAUCGGAGUGCCGGAUUGCCGCAUUCGGGAGGUCUUCCGACGCCCCAGAAGGGGAAGCCGACAUCGGUGAUAUCGCCGCAGUUGAAGAGGUUGCUGCAGGAGCUGAAUAAAUCUAAGGAGUUUCCAAAGACGAAGGGAAGGGAAAAGGCAAAGAAAAGAAGGAAUGAGGAAAUUGGGGAAUCCAUUGAAGAACAGAGAAGAGGGAAUUUUGAUCAGAUGGGUGGUUGUUCCAUUGGAGAAGAGAAGGGGAUGAGGUAUUGCCUAUUGGUAUUGGACUCUAUGAAAGUUGACUUGGUGUAUUGCAUACAAAGUUGGGAAAAAUUUUAAAAAGAAUUUUUAACCUAAGGAGAAUUUGGGUCUUUGAAUGGGUUUAUGUGUUUUGUGGAAAUUUGAAGUUUAAUCGUAUUUGGAGGAAAUUGAAAUUGGUGUGGUGUGGGGAAAUUUGUAUUUUUAAUUGAAAAAAAUGUGGGCAUGUUGACUUGUGUUUUGGUGGUGGUUUAUGUUAAGGGAAGAAGAGAUGGAAAGUUUUUAUUGCAAUUUGUAACCUAUUAAGAGAAUGUGAAGGAUUCAACGGCUUGAUUAUGGCA